AUGGGGCGCAAGCGACACCGAAAGAAGGCCGCCGCCGUCGCCGCCGCCCCGGCCCCGGCCCCGGCCCCCGUCGCCAGCCUCCCCGUGGAUAUGCUAGCCAACAUCCACGCCCGCCUCAGCCUCCUCGACCGCCUCACCUUCGCCGCCGUCUUCCGCACCUCGCGGGACGCAUUCAAGCCGGAGCCGCCCUGUCUCCUCCUGCCUGGCGACGCCCCGGAGACCGCCGCUCUCUUCUCCCUCGCCCAACGCCGCGCCGCAGCCGUGCGCUCCCCGGGGCCCGGCCACGCCGUCCUGGGCUCCUCCUCCCGUGGGUGGCUCGUCACCGCCGACGACCGGGCCCGGAUGCACCUCGUCAACCCGGUCACCGGCGAGCGCCGCGCGCUCCCGGCCAUCGACACCACCCCUCACAUCUUCGCCCACCCCGGGCGCCACCACUUCACCGUCAACGUCAUGUGGUUCCUCAGGGGCCCGCCGCCGUACCCCCACGGCACCAUGACGUACACCGCCGAGAGGGUGCGCCACGCGCUCUACCGCAAGGUCGUCCUCUCAGAUUCCGCGGACGUCGCCAUGCUGAUCACGGGGCCGGUGUACGGCGUCGCGGCCUUCGCCAUGGCGGGGGGCGGCGCGUGGAGGCUGGCGCCCCCGCGCGACGGGGUCGAGCCGGUUGCCACGUCGGUGUCCGGCUCGUGGCACUCGCGCAACGGCGUGGAGGACGCCGUCCACCACGAGGGCAGGUUCUACUCAAUCACGUACUCCGGCGAAGUGGAGGCAUGGGAGGAGCGCGACGCCAACGCUGCCGGCGUGUUCACGAGCGCGGUGGUUGCGCCGAGCCUGCUGCUGCCGGCCAGUACGGACCAUCGCAAGUACCUCGUGGUGGCGCCGGCCGGACGGCUGAUGGUCGUGCUCAAGGAGACCACGGGUUGGCAGACCUGCUCCUUCAAGGUGCAUGUUCUUGAUGCCGGUAGGGAGGAGUGGAAGGAGACGGACGACAUCGGCAACACCGCGCUGUUCGUUGCGGUGAACGGUUCCCUGUGCGUGUCAACGAGGGAGCACCCGGAGCUCAAGGCAGGCUGCGUCUACUACUACACCGAGGAUGAGGAUGAUCUGGGGCCGUGCAAGGAUGCACGCGAUGAUGAGGAGCAUGGCAUCAGGGUGUUCAGCCUCAAGGACCGCAGAACAGAGAUGGUGGGGGGCCUCGGAUGGCGCCGGAGCUGGCCGCCCCCGGCGUGGUUCAUUCCUUCCAUCCCAUGA
RNAcentral lists this ribosomal RNA (1251 nucleotides) under Triticum aestivum (bread wheat). RNAcentral describes it as "partial small subunit ribosomal RNA". The record is from RNAcentral. Lineage: Eukaryota; Viridiplantae; Streptophyta; Magnoliopsida; Poales; Poaceae.